RNAcentral lists this ribosomal RNA (468 nucleotides) under uncultured bacterium. Its description in RNAcentral is "partial 16S ribosomal RNA". It matches the Rfam family "Bacterial small subunit ribosomal RNA", at positions 28 to 507 of the family's 1533-position model. The record is from RNAcentral.
GGCGAACGCUGGCGGCGUGCUUAACACAUGCAAGUCGAACGGUGAUGCUCCAGCUUGCUGGAGUGGAUCAGUGGCGAACGGGUGAGUAACACGUGAGCAACCUGCCCCAGACUCUGGAAUAAGCGCUGGAAACGGCGUCUAAUACUGGAUACGAAACUGGCCCGCAUGGGCAUGGUUUGGAAAGUUUUUCGGUUUGGGAUGGGCUCGCGGCCUAUCAGCUUGUUGGUGAGGUAAUGGCUCACCAAGGCGACGACGGGUAGCCGGCCUGAGAGGGCGACCGGGAACCAGGGGGCUGGGAAACGGAGCAGUGGAAAGCGGGGGGCAGUGGGGGGGCGGAGGGAACAGGGGGGGAAGGUGUGAUAAAGAGGUCCAGCGAGAAGGAAGAAGGUGAAAGGGUAGUAAAAGGAGAUCAGCAGGAAAAUAGCGAAAGAGACGGUACCUGCAGAAUAAGCAACGGCUAACUACGUG